AACGAACGCUGGCGGCGCGCCUAACACAUGCAAGUCGAACGAGAAGCCGUAGCAAUACGGUUGUAAAGUGGCAAACGGGUGAGUAACGCGUGGGUAAUCUACCCUCGGGUGGGGAAUAACUCCUCGAAAGGGGAGCGUAAUGCCGACAUGUGCAUCACUUUCGCAAGGAAGUGUUGGAAAGCCGUAUCGAGGAUACGGCGCCCAAGGGAUGAGCUCUACGUCCUAUCAGCUUGUUGGCGGGGUAACGGCCCACCAAGGCUGCGACGGGUAGCUGGUCUGAGAGGACGACCAGCCACACUGGCACUGCGACACGGGCCAGACUCCUACGGGAGCAGCAGUGAGG
Molecule: ribosomal RNA, 343 nt
Filed under: uncultured bacterium
Lineage: Bacteria
Description: bacterial SSU rRNA
Rfam family: Bacterial small subunit ribosomal RNA
Source: RNAcentral